This 414-nucleotide ribosomal RNA is filed under the name bacterium enrichment culture clone ALO1_GLFRUDD03F1VPK. RNAcentral describes it as "bacterial SSU rRNA". It matches the Rfam family "Bacterial small subunit ribosomal RNA", at positions 9 to 425 of the family's 1533-position model. RNAcentral also lists the same sequence under 3 other names. The record is from RNAcentral.
GAGUUUGAUCGUGGCUCAGAUUGAACGCUGGCGGCAUGCCUUACACAUGCAAGUCGAACGGCAGCACGGGAGCUUGCUCCUGGUGGCGAGUGGCGAACGGGUGAGUAAUGCAUCGGAACGUAUCCUGGAGUGGGGGAUAACGUAGCGAAAGUUACGCUAAUACCGCAUAUUCUGUGAGCAGGAAAGCGGGGGACCUUCGGGCCUCGCGCUCUUGGAGCGGCCGAUGUCGGAUUAGCUAGUUGGUGAGGUAAAGGCUCACCAAGGCGACGAUCCGUAGCAGGUCUGAGAGGAUGAUCUGCCACACUGGAACUGAGACACGGUCCAGACUCCUACGGGAGGCAGCAGUGGGGAAUUUUGGACAAUGGGGGCAACCCUGAUCCAGCCAUGCCGCGUGAGUGAAGAAGGCCUCGGUUG